Molecule: ribosomal RNA, 84 nt
Filed under: Streptococcus suis
Lineage: Bacteria; Bacillati; Bacillota; Bacilli; Lactobacillales; Streptococcaceae
Also listed under: 1 other name
Source: RNAcentral
UUAAGUGACGAUAGCCUAGGAGAUACACCUGUACCCAUGCCGAACACAGCAGUUAAGCCCUAGAACGCCUGAAGUAGUUGGGGG